GCCGGGAUGCUGAAAUUGGUAUACAGGCAUGCUUGAGGUGCAUGUGUCCGCAAGGACGUGGGGGUUCAAGUCCCCCUCUCGGCACCA
RNAcentral lists this transfer RNA (87 nucleotides) under bacterium. RNAcentral describes it as "tRNA-Leu". It matches the Rfam family "tRNA". From Rfam's summary of the family: Transfer RNA (tRNA) molecules are approximately 80 nucleotides in length. Their secondary structure includes four short double-helical elements and three loops (D, anti-codon, and T loops). Further hydrogen bonds mediate the characteristic L-shaped molecular structure. tRNAs have two regions of fundamental functional importance: the anti-codon, which is responsible for specific mRNA codon recognition, and the 3' end, to which the tRNAs corresponding amino acid is attached (by aminoacyl-tRNA synthetases). tRNAs cope with the degeneracy of the genetic code in two manners: having more than one tRNA (with a specific anti-codon) for a particular amino acid; and 'wobble' base-pairing, i.e. permitting non-standard base-pairing at the 3rd anti-codon position. The record is from RNAcentral.